This 200-nucleotide ribosomal RNA is filed under the name uncultured bacterium. RNAcentral describes it as "partial 16S ribosomal RNA". It matches the Rfam family "Bacterial small subunit ribosomal RNA", at positions 28 to 232 of the family's 1533-position model. The record is from RNAcentral.
GACGAACGCUGGCGGCGUGCUUAACACAUGCAAGUCGAGCGGAAAGGCCCUUCGGGGUACUCGAGCGGCGAACGGGUGAGUAACACGUGAGCAAUCUGCCCUCAGCUCUGGGAUAGCUCCGGGAAACCGGGAUUAAUACCGGAUAUGACCACGGUCGGCAUCAGCCGUGGUGGAAAGGGUUUCCGGCUGAGGAUGAGCUC